This 492-nucleotide ribosomal RNA is filed under the name uncultured bacterium. RNAcentral describes it as "partial 16S ribosomal RNA". It matches the Rfam family "Bacterial small subunit ribosomal RNA", at positions 29 to 507 of the family's 1533-position model. The record is from RNAcentral.
AGUGAACGCUGGCGGUAGGCCUAACACAUGCAAGUCGAACGGCAGCACAGUAAGAGCUUGCUCUUACGGGUGGCGAGUGGCGGACGGGUGAGGAAUACAUCGGAAUCUACUUUUUCGUGGGGGAUAACGUAGGGAAACUUACGCUAAUACCGCAUACGACCUACGUGUGAAAGCAGGGGAUCUUCGGACCUUGCGCGAUUGAAUGAGCCGAUGUCGGAUUAGCUAGUUGGCGGGGUAAAGGCCCACCAAGGCGACGAUCCGUAGCUGGUCUGAGAGGAUGAUCAGCCACACUGGAACUGAGACACGGUCCAGACUCCUACGGGAGGCAGCAGUGGGGAAUAUUGGACAAUGGGCGCAAGCCUGAUCCAGCCAUACCGCGUGGGUGAAGAAGGCCUUCGGGUUGUAAAGCCCUUUUGUUGGGAAAGAAAAGCAGCAGGUUAAUAACCCGCUGUUCUGACGGUACCCAAAGAAUAAGCACCGGCUAACUUCGUG